GCACUGGCGGUUCAGUGGUAGAAUUCUCGCCUUCCAGGUGGGAGGCCCAGGUUCGAUUCCUGGCCAAUGCA
RNAcentral lists this transfer RNA (71 nucleotides) under Loxodonta africana (African savanna elephant). It matches the Rfam family "tRNA". Rfam says of the family: Transfer RNA (tRNA) molecules are approximately 80 nucleotides in length. Their secondary structure includes four short double-helical elements and three loops (D, anti-codon, and T loops). Further hydrogen bonds mediate the characteristic L-shaped molecular structure. tRNAs have two regions of fundamental functional importance: the anti-codon, which is responsible for specific mRNA codon recognition, and the 3' end, to which the tRNAs corresponding amino acid is attached (by aminoacyl-tRNA synthetases). tRNAs cope with the degeneracy of the genetic code in two manners: having more than one tRNA (with a specific anti-codon) for a particular amino acid; and 'wobble' base-pairing, i.e. permitting non-standard base-pairing at the 3rd anti-codon position. The record is from Rfam by way of RNAcentral. Lineage: Eukaryota; Metazoa; Chordata; Mammalia; Proboscidea; Elephantidae.